CUUAGUUCUACUUUUUUUACUAUACAUCUUUGUAAUAAUAUUUAAUCUAGAAUCAACACAAAUUAAGAAUUUAAACAACUUUAAAAGACUUUUAAAAGUUUUUAAAUGUUUGUGUCUGUUCAGUGAGGCAGGGGUGUCUGUCAUGCCUGUGUUGGGUGUGAGUGUGUGUGGAGGUCAGGCCAGGUCAGGUACACUCCUCUUCCUCCAUCUGUUUCUCCUCCUCCCUCUGUUUUUCCUCCUCCUCCCUCUGUUUGUGCGUCAGAGCUAAAGCAGCAGCAGCAGCAGCAGGGCGGAAGCGGCUCUGUGUUCAGUACUAUACUACACACUGGAUACACACCUGUGGAUCUCAUCGACAGAGAAGAAACUCUCCAGAUUCUCUACAGGAGAUUGUAUUCCUGGAAAUCCAGCCUCGACACCAGAGGAGGUAAUGCAGAGGUUCACCCAGCCAGUGGAAGGAAGUGUUUUUUGUCAGACUCCCAGCUGAAGCACAAUGGAAACUUCCUGCUUUUUCUCAGAUACAAGAGAUACACCAGAUACACAGCACUUAAUCCACUCCCAGUGUGAACAGAGAAGAGAUGAGCAGUAGUUAUCUAAAUAGGUCAAACAGAAAGAACCAGGCUCUACCAGUCUACUGAGGAGCUUUGGUUGGAAACAGACAGUCUUUCAUGAGCAAGAUAUUGUUUAAACAGUAAAGAAGUAUUGGAGGAUUAAAACCUGACUUUUCAUUAACUCACUAACCAUAUGAUGAGCGAGUGUGCCGUACUGGAAAACCUCAGUGAAGAUGGCUUUCACAGCUGUGAGGGCUUUGCAGAUUGGUCCUCCUACAGCCCUGUACACUGGAAUGGGAAUCAGGAGGACAGCAGCAACAGUUUUGGGGACUGGAGUACUUUUAAUAGUAAUCUCAGCAAAGACAAAGAACCUGCACGCUCAGAAUCGCCUCCAGAAGAGGGACGUUCUGGUCACACACACAAGGUGGAGAAAAGUAACAAGCUCAGAUCCUCGUCUGUGUUCUAUGACUGCUUCCAUGCUGAGGAGACCAUAAAAGAUACGGCUGUAAUGGAGAUCCCGCCACUGUCCCAACUGCUGCUCAACUCAGCAUCUACACCUCCUCAACCAGCAGCACUAUCAAGAUUUUGGUAACCUGCUUUGACCCCACAGGACCACCACAGAGCAGCUAUUAUUAUUUAGAUGGUGAAUUAUUCUCAGCACUGCAGUCACACCUGAUAUGGUGAUAGUGUUUGUUUCACUGGUACAAGUGAAUCACACAGCAGUGCAGCUGGAGUUUUUUUUUUUUAAAUAGCUCUGUGUCACUGCUGCACUGAGAAUAAUACACCAGCAAACGUUGUCCUGUGGGCUGUGUCUUGUGACCAAAAAUGAAGGACUAGAGGACAACCAACAGAAGAAAAGAAACUGUACAACAACAGAUGAGCGUCUGUUUCUUAUUUUCUACAUGGUGGAGCAGCUUAGAAGGAAUGUCUAAUAGAGUGCAUAGUGAGUGAACACAGUGUUUAAAAACUCCAGCAGCAC
RNAcentral lists this long non-coding RNA (1527 nucleotides) under Astyanax mexicanus (Mexican tetra). RNAcentral describes it as "lncRNA (ENSAMXG00005004466.1)". The record is from RNAcentral. Lineage: Eukaryota; Metazoa; Chordata; Actinopteri; Characiformes; Acestrorhamphidae.